UCCAACAUGGCGGCAUGUUUGGAAAAAUAAUAUUUACAAAACCUGAGCAAACUGAAAACAGUCCUUAAGCUUCCCAUAACGUGUCAUGAGUUGAAACGUACGUAUUGCAUCAUUUUGGUGAUAUCUGUGUGGAGAGAAUGGAUUGCCAGACAAGGAUUGGAAAAAAUUCAUGAGGACUCACAUCUCGAAUUUUUCACAAACACGUGUAAAAGAGCUAAUUCAAGAUAAGAUCCACCACAAAAGCAUGACAGCUGAACAUCUUGAGCCAAGAAAUGAUGGUGAAAAGUAUUGCGAGAGAGUACUGGUGAUGACUGACAACAACAAUGCAAAUGAAAGGUAGACAAUGGUUUAGUUGAAGAUUGCAGUUAUGGAAGAAUAAUUAAUGAUGUUUACCGGGAUUGAAGGUUACAAGAAGAUCUCUUGAAAUACUGAUUACAGAUAGCUGAGCGAAGCAAAUGAUAAAGAUUGGACCUGAGAAAGCAUCACCUAGGAAAGGCAGUAGAAAUUCGCUGUUUGUCAGAAGAAGAAAAGCCACUACAGUAAUGACAUCGAGAAAAACUCAUCCUACACUAUGGUUUGCUCGAUAGAGAAGCUAUUUUGAAGACUGGCGUCUCGUGUUCCUAAGGUUUCUUCGACCACCUAAGGCUGGAUACCAAGAAACACGAUCACCUUAAGCAUAAGGCCAGAGACAAAUAACAAUCUUAGAGAGAAAGAAAAAUUGGAUCGACUCCAAUUCAGAGAAUAAAAUAAAAAAAUUGGGGUUUGAUCCGUCCACCAUCCCCCACCACACCUGCCCCUAUUAAAAGGUACUUAUAGGUUAUCAACCUUGAAGGGAAAACGCAAACGGUUUCUUUCCACCAUCUA
Pocillopora damicornis (cauliflower coral) is the source of this 864-nucleotide long non-coding RNA. RefSeq lists it as uncharacterized. The record is from RefSeq and is a predicted model, not a curated record. NCBI's taxonomy places the organism in Eukaryota, Metazoa, Cnidaria, Anthozoa, Scleractinia, Pocilloporidae.